AAGUCGUAACAAGGUUUCCGUAGGUGAACCUGCGGAAGGAUCAUUACAGAGUUCAUGCCCUCACGGGUAGACCUCCCACCCUUGUGUAUUUAUACCAUGUUGCUUUGGCAGGCUGCUGCCCCCCUCGGGGGACAGCCCCAGCGCCUUCGGGCCUGGGAGUCGCCUGCCGGAGGAAAAACAAACUCUGAAUUGUUAGUGUCGUCUGAGUACUAUAUUUUAAUAGUUAAAA
This 229-nucleotide unclassified non-coding RNA is filed under the name plant metagenome. RNAcentral's name for it is "partial contains small subunit ribosomal RNA and internal transcribed spacer 1". The stretch from base 1 to 46 matches the Rfam family "Eukaryotic small subunit ribosomal RNA", at positions 1786 to 1831 of the family's 1831-position model. The record is from RNAcentral.